Molecule: long non-coding RNA, 311 nt
Filed under: Mytilus galloprovincialis (Mediterranean mussel)
Lineage: Eukaryota; Metazoa; Mollusca; Bivalvia; Mytilida; Mytilidae
Source: RNAcentral
UUUUGUACAUGUUAUAACCUGUACAAAAUCGCAACUUGUACACGACAUAUACAUAUAUUGUCACUAAGAAUAAUGUAUCAGUUUAAAAAAACAACAUGGGAAGACCCUUAUGUAAAAAGAUUAUAAAAUACAUGUGCCAUGGUUAUCCUGGUUGAAAUGUUACUUGUACUGAAACCGCUGUAUUGUAUAUAAAUGUAUGUAAAUUAAGCCCAAUUUCUAUUAAUAUGCUUUUCACUUUCUCUUUAUUUGUAUCUUCAAUGGAUAUGGUGAUGAAAUUGCUUGUACUGUUUAAUACUGCCUUAUCAAUUAAA